AGUGAACGCUGGCGGCGGGCCUAAUACAUGCAAGUCGAGCGGAAACACGAUAAGCUCUUGCCUCUACCGUUAGCGGCUGACGGAUGAGUAACAAAUAGAUAAGCUACCUCUAUGACUUGGAGGACUACGUGGAGCCACUGAUGCUAACAGCUCAUAUGUUCUACCGCUUAAUUCAAUAGUUCAAGACACCUUUGCUGUCUCUAAUAGAUGAUUUCGCGACGGAUUAGCUAGUUGGUAAGGUAACGGCCUACCAAGGCAACGAUGCGUAGCCGACCUGAGAGGGUGAUCAGCCACACUGGAACUGAGACACGGUCCAGACUCCUACGGGAGGCAGCAGUGGGGAAUAUUCCGCAAUGGGCGAAAGCCUGACGCAGCCAUGCCGCGUGAGUGAAGAAGGUCUUCGGAUUGUAAAACUCUGUUAUUAGGGAAGAAAAGCAGCGGAAGUAUCUACGGCCGUCUUGACGGUACCCAAAGAGAAAGCCACGGCUAACUUCGUG
RNAcentral lists this ribosomal RNA (497 nucleotides) under uncultured bacterium. Its description in RNAcentral is "partial 16S ribosomal RNA". It matches the Rfam family "Bacterial small subunit ribosomal RNA", at positions 29 to 507 of the family's 1533-position model. The record is from RNAcentral.